AACGUAGGUACCGAGCGUUAUCCGGAUUUACUGGGCGUAAAGCGUGUUCAGGCGGCCUGGCAAGUCGGGCAUGAAAUCUCUCGGCUCAACCGGGAGAGGCUGUCCGAUACUGCUGGGCUUGAGGACGGUAGAGGGUGGUGGAAUUCCGCGUGUAGUGGUGAAAUGCGUAGAUAUGCGGAGGAACACCAGUGGCGAAGGCGGCCACCUGGACCGUCCCUGACGCUCAAACACGAAAGCAUGGGGAGCGAACGGG
Molecule: ribosomal RNA, 253 nt
Filed under: uncultured bacterium
Lineage: Bacteria
Description: partial 16S ribosomal RNA
Rfam family: Bacterial small subunit ribosomal RNA
Source: RNAcentral